Molecule: ribosomal RNA, 1003 nt
Filed under: Bacteroides faecis
Lineage: Bacteria; Pseudomonadati; Bacteroidota; Bacteroidia; Bacteroidales; Bacteroidaceae
Description: bacterial SSU rRNA
Rfam family: Bacterial small subunit ribosomal RNA
Source: RNAcentral
ACGGCCCACCAAACCUUCGAUGGAUAGGGGUUCUGAGAGGAAGGUCCCCCACAUUGGAACUGAGACACGGUCCAAACUCCUACGGGAGGCAGCAGUGAGGAAUAUUGGUCAAUGGACGAGAGUCUGAACCAGCCAAGUAGCGUGAAGGAUGACUGCCCUAUGGGUUGUAAACUUCUUUUAUAUGGGAAUAAAGUGGUCCACGUGUGGAUUUUUGUAUGUACCAUAUGAAUAAGGAUCGGCUAACUCCGUGCCAGCAGCCGCGGUAAUACGGAGGAUCCGAGCGUUAUCCGGAUUUAUUGGGUUUAAAGGGAGCGUAGGUGGACAGUUAAGUCAGUUGUGAAAGUUUGCGGCUCAACCGUAAAAUUGCAGUUGAUACUGGCUGUCUUGAGUACAGUAGAGGUGGGCGGAAUUCGUGGUGUAGCGGUGAAAUGCUUAGAUAUCACGAAGAACUCCGAUUGCGAAGGCAGCUCACUGGACUGCAACUGACACUGAUGCUCGAAAGUGUGGGUAUCAAACAGGAUUAGAUACCCUGGUAGUCCACACAGUAAACGAUGAAUACUCGCUGUUUGCGAUAUACAGUAAGCGGCCAAGCGAAAGCAUUAAGUAUUCCACCUGGGGAGUACGCCGGCAACGGUGAAACUCAAAGGAAUUGACGGGGGCCCGCACAAGCGGAGGAACAUGUGGUUUAAUUCGAUGAUACGCGAGGAACCUUACCCGGGCUUAAAUUGCAUUUGAAUAAUCAAGAAAUUGGUUAGUCGUAAGACAAAUGUGAAGGUGCUGCAUGGUUGUCGUCAGCUCGUGCCGUGAGGUGUCGGCUUAAGUGCCAUAACGAGCGCAACCCUUAUCUUCAGUUACUAACAGGUCAUGCUGAGGACUCUGGAGAGACUGCCGUCGUAAGAUGUGAGGAAGGUGGGGAUGACGUCAAAUCAGCACGGCCCUUACGUCCGGGGCUACACACGUGUUACAAUGGGGGGUACAGAAGGCCGCUACCUGGUGACAGGAU